GGUACUGUAGCUCAGUAGUUAGAGCACCAGCCCUGCAAGCCAGAGGCAGCGAGUUCCUACCUCGCCUGGGCCU
RNAcentral lists this transfer RNA (73 nucleotides) under Otolemur garnettii (small-eared galago). It matches the Rfam family "tRNA". Rfam says of the family: Transfer RNA (tRNA) molecules are approximately 80 nucleotides in length. Their secondary structure includes four short double-helical elements and three loops (D, anti-codon, and T loops). Lineage: Eukaryota; Metazoa; Chordata; Mammalia; Primates; Galagidae. The record is from Rfam by way of RNAcentral.